ACGUGACUGAAAAAUUAUGUGUGUAUGACAGGUUAAUGUGAUGGAAAACUAUUGAAGUUUGGAUCCAAACUUUGGAUCUAAACACAAACUUAGUUGCUUCUCCGACUUUGCUUACACACGUACGAACCUCCAGUACAAAAGUCAACAAGAAGACGGCGUAAAUAAUUUUUUUAAAAAACCAACGAUUUAGCUCGCUGCAUGCGUACGCCUGACGGCCUGAACGCUAAUUAAUCACGACUGCGAGAAGUAAACAAGAUCCUUUCAUUUUCUUUUCUUUUCCCGGUUUUUUCUUCCCCGCCCCCGGACAAGGGCCUUCUAGCCAUUUGUGUUGUAUAAAUAAAACUAGUAUAAUAACCCACGCAAAUUGCACGGCUAGCAUAAUUAUAUUCUCUCAUAUAAUAGCAUAUAUAUUUUCUCAAUGUAUUAUUCAAAUAUAUUAAAAUGAUAACAUAAUUUUAAAUUUUGUACUAACUUUACAAAACUACUAAUGUGUAAUAUUCAUAUUGUAUUUUAUAUACGUGUUAGUUAUUAAUUAUUUUUAAUAUCAAAUUUUAGUUAUUUGUAAAUUAUAUUCCUAUAUGGACUCUAGACUCGUCUUUCAAUAUUUCUUUUUUAAAAUUCCGAAAUUUUCGUUAUCUGUAAAUUAUAUUUCUAUAUAAACUCUAGGCUCUUCUACUAAUAUUAUUUAUUUUUAAUUUUGAAUUUUUAUUGUUUCCAAUUGUAUCUCUAUGUGGACUCUAAACACAUCUUUCAAUAUUCUUUAAUUUUUAAUUUCGAAUUCAGUUACUUAUAAAUUGUAUUCCUAUAUUAACUUUAGACUCUUCUUCCCCUUUUUUUAAAAUUUUGAAUUUUAGUUAUUUGUAAAUAGUAUUUUUACAUGAACUCUAAACUCUACUUUUAAUUUUAUUAUGUUUAUUUCGAAUUUUAGUUAGUUUUAAUUUCUUAUAUGGACUCUAUGCUCUACUUCUAAUAUUCCUUAUUUUUAAUUCUGAAUUUCUAUUAUUUUUUAAUUAUAUUUCUAUAUGGACUCUAUGCUCUACUUCUAAUAUUCCUGGUUUUUAAUCCUGAAUUUCUAUUAUUUCUUAAUUGUAUUUCUAUAUGGACUCUAUUCUCCUCUUCUAAUAUUCCUUAUUUUAUUAAUUCCAAAUUUCAACCAUUUCUAAUUGUAUUUCUAUAUGGACUCUGUUUUCCUUUUUCUCCGAUUAAUAUGAGAUUUUCUAGGUCGUGAGAGCGAACGUGGAGGCUCCUUUUUCUAUUCCUUUAAUAAGUUAAUAGAUUCUUCUAGCCGUUUGUUUGUGUUGUAUAAAUAAAAUUUUUCUUUCUUUUAAUAUAUUGGCGUAUAAUUUUUUUUGCGCGUUUGUGAAAGAAGUAUUCAAGAUAGAGUAUAUUUUGCCAGGUCACAUCGAGAUCGGAGUCAAAUCCUCCGGCCACAUCGAUCGAUUAACGACCUUAAUUCCGAUCGAUCAAGCUAAGAUCGAUCGUUGUCUCUGUUUGCGGUGGCCACCGCCGGCCAAGUCGCCGGAGAUGAGAUGAGAGAUUAUCCAGUCCAGUUUGCACAUACGCGUGGACCAAACCGGACAGAGAACGCGGCUGCAGCCGCAAUUUAUCAAUGUAGAACGGCUACGACGACGGCGACGGCGAAGAGGAUGAUGAAGAAUACUUUCUCUAUUUUUAAAUACUUAUACCGUUCACUUCUUAACACAUAUUUGACUAUUUGUCUUAUUAAAAACUUUUGUGAAAUAUAUAAAACUAUAUGUAUACAUAUAACUAUAUUUAACAAUGAAUUAAAUGAUAGGAAAGAAUAAUAAUUACUUAUUUUUUUAGUAAGAUGAACGGUCAAAUAUAAUUAAAAAAGUCAACUGUGUUAAAUAUUUAGAAACGAAUGGAGUAUAAAGGGAGUAUAUUAUAUCUGAAUCGAGGUCGACGCGUCCGUCCAGCUAAUUGGUUCUCAUUCGAUUUGCCCAUGCUCGAGUUGACAUUUUUUUGGGUCCUCGAGCUCUCUCUCGCUCAAGGUUAAUUACCCACUUAAUCACUGGGAUUUAACCGGGAUUUGGUGGGGAAAGCUAAUAUUUUAAUCCGUUUUCAGUCAGAAACUGCAGGCCCCGACGACGACCUCCUAGCCUUAGCCCCUUAGCUUCCUUCUUUAUAAGGAGGGCAAGCUACCAUUGCAAGGACAAUUAACUUUGUUCAGCCAUCGCUUUGCUUGAUACCCUUCUUGUUCAGAGCCUACGUGAUUAAGCUAAGCCUGGUUUAAUAUUUCGAGAUCGGUAACGACGAUCGAUCGAACGCCGCAAUGGACGUCGUCGUCGAGAGCCCGCCGGUGAGGGACGAGAAGAAAGUCGACGUCGCCGCGGUAUGAUAACAUAAAUUGGAUUUAAUUACGAUCUUUUUUUUGAGACGUGAUGAUGCUAAUUGCAGAGUUCUUGAACAAGAUCAAACUGAAUUCGAUUAAUUGUAUUUGGGUGCAGAUUGGAGGCGCGCCUCCAAUAGUCUUUGAGAGUUUUGCACCAUCGACGCAGAGAGAUUCAACCAUCAUCAAGAAGGUAUCCAUCCAUCGAUCGAUCAAUCGAUCGUAAUUUGUUCUGAUAAUUCAGAAAUUGGUGAUUAAUUAUGUGGUAAUUAUUGUGACAGGAGGAGAAGAUGGAGGCAGCGAAGGCGGAGAUGGGCGAGGUGAGGGAGGAGAACGAGCGGCUCAAGACGAUGCUCACACGCAUCGUCAGCGACUACAAGUCGCUGCACACGCACUUCCUCGACGUCGUCAAGGUCAAGGAGCAAACGGCGGCGGAGCUCUCCGGAGACGACGACGACGACGAGCCCGACGACCUCGUCUCCCUGAGCCUCUGCACGAGGCCCAACGCCGCCGCGACGCGCCGGAAGGGCCACGAGAGGACGCCGUCGUCCGGCGGCGGCGGCGACGACGGGCGGCUGUCCCUCGGGCUGAGCUGCGCUCGCGGCGGCGUUGCCUCCGACGACGACGACGACAAGCAGGCGAGCCGCCGCGCGUUGCCGCCGAUGCCCGUGCUGAACCUCAGCUCCGACAGCAGCGGGGACGCCGCCGGCGCCGGCGCCGGCGAGCCUACCCAGCCGAACAAAGCGUCCAGGAGCUCGAGCGGCGGCGGCGAUGGCGCCGACGACGAGGUGCUGCAGCAGCAGCAGGCCAAGAAGGCUAGGGUUUCCGUCAGAGUCAAGUGCGACACCCCCACGGUACUAAUUAAUUACAGAAGAACGAUUACUCUUCUUAAUCCCAAUCUCUAAACCAUAAUAAUUACGUAAUUUACCCGUGCUAAUCACGCUGUUAAUUAUGAUUAGAUGAACGAUGGGUGUCAGUGGCGGAAAUACGGGCAGAAAAUCUCAAAGGGGAACCCUUGCCCGCGCGCCUAUUACCGUUGCACCGUUGCACCCAACUGCCCUGUACGCAAGCAGGUACGUAUAUACGCGUAUAAAUACGUAUUUACGUUUACAAAUACGUAUAUGAUUCGAAUGAUGCGUACUUAAAUUGAAGCGAAAAUUUAAAUUUGUGUUGGUUUUGUGUUAAUCGAUGGAUCAGGUGCAGAGAUGCGCGGACGACAUGUCGAUCCUGAUCACGACGUACGAGGGCACGCACAGCCACCCGCUGCCGCCGGCGGCGGCGGCGAUGGCGUCCACAACGUCGGCCGCGGCGGCGAUGCUGACGUCUGGCUCGACCAACUCCACGAUGCACGGCAGCGGCGGCGUUCACCACCACCUGCCGUUCGCCUCGGCCGUCGGCGGCGGCGGCGGCGUCGGGCUGCUCGGCCCGACCACCAUCUCCACCGCCACGUCCUGCCCCACCGUCACGCUCGACCUCACCGCGCCGCACUCGCUCCUGCACCCGUCGUCGGCGUCGCCCUACGCCGCCGCCGCCGCGGGGUACGAGUCCAGCAGGGCGCUGCCGGCGGCGUGGAGCAGCGGGUACCUGGCGUACGGCGGCGCGGCGGCGGCGCAGCCAUACUACGCCAAGGGCGUUGCGCCGUCGCCGUUCGGCCAUCAUUUCGGCAUGAUGGGCAUGGCGGCGGCGGCGGCGAGGCCGGCGCCGGAGCAGCUGUUCGGCGGCCAGACGACGUCGCCGUACCUGCAGAGAGCCAUCGGCGGCGGCGGCGUCGCGCCGGCGGCCGUGACGGACACGAUCGCGAAGGCGAUCACGUCGGACCCGAGCUUCCAGUCGGUUUUGGCGGCGGCGAUCACGUCCUACAUGGGGCGCGGCGGCGGCGCGGCGGCGCCGAACAAGUGAAGCAAGUUCAUAAAAUUGAUCUAAAUUUUGUUUAGAUAAUCAAUUAGAUGGUAAUAAUUGCUUGAUUUGUUCUGCUAUACGUACGUAUUAGUCUCCUAAUUGGCAAAUUGAUGUACAUAGAGUACAGUAUAUAUAAGCAUGCACAAGCGUGAGAUCACUCAAUUGUAUAUGCACUAUGUGGGGGGAAACAAAUUAAUUCAAAAUGAGGCUUUUGAUUUCCAGGCUUCAAGGAGCUAGACAUGCAUGCGUGAUAGUGUCAGGUAAGCAUAAUUUUUGUACAAACAGUACUGAUCAUGGAGUGAUAAUAUAUACUCCCUCCGUAUUUUAAUGUAUGACGCCAUUGACUUUUUAACCAACGUUUGACCAUUCGUCUUAUUUAAAAUUUUUAUGCAAAUAUAAAAAUACUUAUGUCAUGCUUAAAGAACAUUUGAUGAUAAAUCAAGUCACCAUAAAAUAAAUUAUAAUUACAUAAUUUUUUAAAAUAAGACGAAAGGUCAAACGUUUGUCAAAAAGUCAACGGCGUCAUACAUUAAAAUACGGAGGGAGUAUAUACUGCGCAGGAAAGCAAGAAGGAAACAAAAAUCCAUGAAAAUAACUUGACCAAAGUUAAAAUUCUCCCCAUAUAUAUGAGAGAUUAAUUGAUAGUGUAUUUUGGUGAUAACCACUGACGAUCUCUAGUGGCCUGAUUUUGGUUAGGAGCGUAAACUCUUGAUUUGAUCGAAUGAAAUGUUGACAAAACAGCUACCAGCAAUAAGUCUAUGAUGCAAUGUCAUAUCAAACAUAACGUGUGGUUUGAUAAUCUCUAAUGUAGACAAGAAAACACUGCAAAAAUAAGGUAGAUACAAUCUAAAUAUUAUUUAUGAAUAGGUGCUUAAUUAAGCACGAUAGGAAUGAUUGUUAUUGAAGUGGUCAAUCCAAUCGAUCGAGUAAAUCAAUAUACCAACUAUUUUAGACUUUUAUAGUCACCGACUAAACGAUCGUGAACUAAGAAUAAGAUUAAACACACUUGGAUAAAAAUCAACUAAAUAAAAUAUUUUUUUCUUGCAAUACAUAGCUAGUUAUAAAGGAAACUAGAGUUUGGUGUGCUCAAGUUCAUUAAUUAAGGUGGAGAGAGGCUCACCAGAGAUGGGCAGUGAUGAACCUUUAAAAAACAAUUACCGGUAUCCUAUAUAUAUAUCAUAGUAUAUAUAAUAUUCUGAUUUCAACUAAUAAUGUAGUUAAUAUAGGCAACAUCUAAAUAUUAAAAUUUGGAACACCACUAACGAUGGGAAAUCUAUUGGAAAACCCCAAACCUAAAUUUAGUUUGCCUUCAGCAACAACAGUGGCUUAGAUAAAUUUGGCCCAUGCCACUGUAAAUUUGUUGUAUUAAGAAAAUCAUGUCAUUUUGUACGCAUCAAACAUGUUUGGAAUUUUUUUUACUUUAAUUUUACAUGAACCAAAAUACCAAAUCUACGGCCUCAUCGGUUCGCUUAUUGGAGGAAUAAGCGAAACGGCAUAUUUACAAAAGAACAAUAAUUUAUACGUAAAACUUUUAUAUACGUGUUAUUAGCGAUCUAAAAGCAAACGCUCGAAAAUAAACUUCGAUGAAAAGACAUCAAAAUCAACUCCAAAUUUAAAGUUGAAAAUUCAAAUUUUGCCUGAUAAGCAUAAGUAUAAGCGAAAUGAUGAGGCCGCUAAACACAGAACCUGCCCGUCAGUUCCAUGUUCUUUCUUCACCCUCCCCUCUCUCUUCACCUCUCCUUCACCAAUAUUCAAAGGUUUUCGUGAAGUCUAACAAAAUCUAAACCAGAGGUGCCGUGAACAUGCUAGGUCCAUUUCAAACCAAUACGGUCCUAGAAGGCUGGACUGGACUUGACCCGUGUUGGUUUUCCACUGAAAGAAUAAACAGCUAGGUCCGUUUCAAACCAAUACGGUCCCAGAAGGCUUAACUGGACUUGGCCCGUGUUGAUUUUCUACUUAAAGAAUAAAUAGCCAUAAAUGUGAGCACCCGUAUUAAAUCUAGAAUUCGAACCCGGGUAGGUUGGUUCCACAACAAGGAACCAAACCAAUUGAAUUAUGCUCACUUCGUGAUCUCCGUGAUGAUUUUGAGUACAUAUGUCUCCUUGGUGAUAUAACCGAAGAUUACUAAAGUAUAAUCACACGACAAACAUUAUUUAGCGGUUUAUUUUAAGUUGAUGUGCAUGUGCUCUUGUUAAUAUUGGACCUAAUGAAGUUAUAUGUGAGUAUCUGAUUAAAUGAUGUCCUCAAAUAAUGAUCAUUCUAGGCUGCGAUAAUAUAUACUGCCUCCAUUUUUUAAUAGAUGACGCCGUUGACUUUUUCUCAUAUGUUUGACCAUUCGUCUUACUCAAAAAUUUUAUGCAAAUGUAUAAGAUAUAAAUCACACUUAAAGAACUAUGAAUGAUAAAACAACCCAUAACAAAUUAAAUUAUAAUUACGUAAAUUUUUUGAAUAAGACGAAUGGUCAAACAUGUGAGAAAAAGUCAACGGCGUUAUCUAUUAAAAAACGGAGAGAGUAGUUUGGUAUUUUCAGAAAUCUUGCUUUCACAAAGCCGAUCUUUAAUUUCUGCAACUGCAGUGAUCACAAGAUACAAAUAAAUUUCUUAUAUAUAUAUAUAUAUAUAUAUAUAUAUAUAUAUAUAUAUAUAUAUAUAUGCUAUAACGUUUAUACUUUUUUACCCUUUUUGAAUUACCAGCGAAAGUAUAAAAUAGAAAAGUAGGUAGAUAAAUACUUGGAUUUUAGAAAGGAAAAAAACAUGGUGCAGUAUAUGUAUAUUACUUGGACAAAAAGAAGAUAGUGAUUAUACGAGUUGGGAAUACUAAGACCAGAUGGAACACACUGAAAACAUUGUUAGUUUGGUAAAAUCUCACUCUAAUCCUUGAAAUAGAUUUAUUCUUUCCGACUGUCCGACACCCUCUUAAUUUGAAAUAAUAUUUCAUGAGAAAUUUUACGGUUAUUGAGAGAAAGUAUUUCGAGGUACCAAAUUCUAUUAUAUUCUUAAAGAUGGUAAAAUCAUCCAUAUUUCACGGAUGAUACUGGACUUAAAAAGGUCCAUUAUUCAAAAAGAGAAAAAAAAAACUGAGCUAGUCGAAGUGCUCCUGCAUUGGACUGAACGAUUUGCAAGUUUAGAUGGGCCUCCUUUUAUGGGCCUGAAUGUUGGGUCCCACACACAAAGAUGGGCCUGCAAUGAGCCUCAUCCAAGCAAGGCCUUACCGGCUUACCCUGUUCUUGGGCCCUUAUGAGGAAUGGCACAUCUGAUUAACUCUGCAGAUAUACAACCAGUUAUCUGCAACUUGUAAGAGAAGAUAAGGAAGAAUGGGGAAUAAAAUGUAAGAAAAGUGAUGGAAAAAUAGAAGCCGCCGCGGGAAGAUGUUUAUAAAAUUAAUAUCGAUGCUUCCUUCUUCGCUGAGACUGGCACUGGAGGCUGGGGUUUUGUGGCAAUGGAUUCAAAGGGUUCUUUCUGCUGGAAGCUUAUCGUGGAUGGGCAACGCCCUGCAUGUGGAGGCGUUAGCAAUGAUGAAAAGUCUAGAAAAAGUGUCUCAACAGGGGAUGACAAAAAUUGAGGUUAAAACGGAUGCACAGAUGCUGGGCAAAGCACUUAUUUCCCAAGAUCUGAACCGUCGCCCUGAUGGUGUCAUUUUCAGAAAAUUAAGGGCUUUCUUAAGAUCAAACUUUGAUGUCUUUUCUAUUUCAGUUUUCCCUAGAUCUUGUAACAAAGUGGCUGAUUGUUUGGCCUCUUUUGGUGUGGGUAUCGUGGCCACUAGCUCCAAGUGUUUCUGGAGCCAAGCCCCGACGUUUGUAUCUCCUUUGGUCUCCGGCGAUUUGCCUGGAGAUACUGGUUAAUGAAAGCAGAGGUUUACUGUGUCAAAAAAAAAGUUCUCUGCAACUUGAGAAUAGCAUGAGCGUUUGUCCACCAAAAUUCAAUGCGAAAAAAUUUACUUUACUUCAGUGAUAUCAAGAGGUAAUACCAAAAUUUUUAAUGUAAAUUUUUAUAUCUUAAGUAGCUUGAUUUUACAUUAGAAUAUACGAUAAAGCUAAUUAAUUAGCGGAGAUGGAAGAGGCUAUUGGAAUUAUGCACAAAUCAUCACGAUUUUAUAGCUAAAACAAUACGGCGUACUCCGUUUAGAAAAAAAUUAAUUCUAACGACGAAUCUGAAGUUCUAAACAUAUGAUUGUCUAGAUUUAUAGUUAAGAUUUAACUCUUUUUUUUUUAAGUAGUAAGUCUAGUGCAUACAAGAACCGAUCGAUCGAUCACGAACGGCGGUACAACUAACAAGCAACCAAGAAAAACAAAAACAGAAGUAAAUUCAGCGUUCAGAACGACGAUUCCGACGAGUGCGCCGCCGCGGCGGCGUGCAGCGGCGCCCCCCACGCCUGCGCGUGCGCGGGAGGCGGCGAGGCCGCCGCCGCCGGAACGCUCCACGGCGGCGCAGCGGAAGUAGGGUACGGGAGGUGGCCGCCGCCGCCGACGCAGCCGGGGGUCGCGUGGUUGUGGACGCCGUCGUAGGUGGUGACGACGUAGCGCGGGUCGUCGCCGUCGCGCUCCACCCGCUUCUUGACGCCGCACCCCGCCGCCGAGCACCGGUAGUAGUUCCGCGGGUUCGGGCUGCUCUUCACCGCCUUCUUCCCGUACUUUCGCCACUUGAACCCGUCGUCCAGCACCUCCACCUCCGACCUCGUCCUGAACCCGAUCCUGCUCGUCGUCGCCGCCGCCGACGACGACGACGACACGCCAUACUGAUCAUUGUUCCCGCCGGCGACCACCACCGGCUGCGACGGCGGCGGCGGAAGCGGCAGCGAGUACACGGAAUGGCCGAGCUCCAGGAAUUCACCAAAGGAACAGCCGCCGCCGCCGCCGCCGUCGACGAUGUGGUCCGCCAUGAGAGGAGGGAAGCACAAGGAGGAGGAGGUGUUCGACGCCGGGUACGAGUAGGCGUACGACGUCUCGUGGCAGAGUCCCAGCGAAGCCGCCAUGCUCGCGUCACUGUGCGUUAGCUAAGCUAGCUGCUGCUGCUGCUGAUUGAGUGUUUGACAGAAUUUCUCGUGUCAAGCACUGCAAUUUAUACUGCCGAAUCGAUUGGUCCAAACUAGCUGGCUAUGUGGAUGGUUCACACGAACGAUCCUGAUGAUCAGAAGGUUCUCAAUAGAUGGAUUAAUUGUGUCACAUGUCGAUUGUGAUUACUUCUUACCGUGACAGUGACACCCCCGCUAACUAACCCUGCACUUUUGGCAUUUAUGACCGCACAAACUUAGCCCCUGGUCAGGGAUGAAUUAACAAUCUACUGCUCCCCACCGGUUUGAUAAUAAUUAUCGCUUUGAACAAUCAAUGACAUGAUCUUAAAAAGUAACUUUGAUAACUAUUUUUCAUUAUAGUAUAAUAGAAAUAUCAAUAACUAUAUGAUUUUGUUGAAGUAGUUUUUAGGACCAAUCUAUACAUAUGGUCAUUAUAUUUCUAAUAUAACUAUUUUAUAUUUUAUAGUUAAAGUUUUUUCAGGUUUGACAAUAGGUUUGUUCAGAACGAUAAGUAAUAUCAACCAAGAGAGAAGUAUAUAUACUGAAAUUGUGGUCAAUGUUGAGACAUUGCAUUAUGAUGACCAUGACUUGAUUUAUUGGAUGAUCGAUCCCUCAGUAUUUUCUCCGUUCUUAAAUAUAAGCAUUUAUGCACAAUAUAAAGAUUCCCGUAGUAUUCACUAUUACACACGGAAAUUAAAUCCAAACAUUUUCAAGCUAAUCCAAUCGAGCAAUUUAAAAUUUAAUUAAGGAGGUGACCAAGGGAGAAUCUUUUACCUCAAUCUUAAUUUUUGCUAAACAAUCUCAGAGUUUGUUUGGGAGGUUUCGGACAGCUCAAUUUUCUCUCAGAAUUAAAAUUUCUGCCAAACAAUUCAGCAUUUUGUCCAUAUUAUAACCAGCUAUAUCAGCAUAAUUCAGAAAAUAAAGUAGAAGCAAGAAAUUGGUAACUUAAUUAUUCCGAUUCUUAUCAGCUGGAUUCACACCAUUCGCUUUUCAAAAUCUAAUACUUUCCAAAGUCCAAACAGAUCCUUAUAGGAACGGAUCAUCGGAAGAGGUGUAUAUAUAUACGGUAGUCCAAGUUAACGUGGGAGUCCAAGCGGUCGUGUCGACGGAUAGCACUAACGUAACGUGCGUGCGUACGAUGCACCUGGCCCAAAUGCAAGCGACACCUGUAAAAAGGGGCGCGCGCGUCCAAUCUAAGUACGUAUCAGGCGGGGCACUGCAGCGGCGGCCGGGCGGGCAAUUCGGCCGCGACUACGGGUGCGAGAAAUUUACCGGCCGGCCUACGACGCGAGCGAUCGAGCGCACGCGCCGCGCGCGCAUGCUGAUCGCUCGCUCGAUCAUUGCCACGCACUGGUUUCUUCUCGAUUUUACUUUGCGUGGGGUAGGCCAAGUUUGACGGGGACGCGAACUCGCGAAGCACAUACGAACGACCAGAAAAUUAAUAUUAGCAAACGGGUUUUUAUGUAGAUAGCGGAACUACCUACUUACAUCUCUAAUCGUGAAGCAUACUCAGUGUAAUAUAGGUGAACCAUACUUAGUGUGUCAGGCGACUGAAAUUCUAGAAAUUUCAAUUAACUUAAACCUAGCGCUAGAUUUUGAGAGAGAAGGAGGAUGGUGAAACUCACCGGUAGACGGUGCACUGGUGUAUGUAGGCGAGAACUUGCCUCGUAUGUGUUGGCGGGAAAAAGAGUAAAGAAAAAUAAAGUUAUUGUGUUUAUAUGAGUCUUCGAAUGAUCUAAACCAUUCAGAAGUGCCUGAAAAUCAUUGACAUUAUUUUAAGGGAUUGUGUACUCCUCGUUUAACAGAAAACCCCUCCUAAUAUCUUGUAAUUUUUUUUAUCAUUGGAUUGAUUUGAGAUUCGUGCAAACCGCACAAAACCCAAACCACUUAUCCUUCCCCUCCUCCCCGCCGCCACAAAAAUCGGUCGAGCACUCCUCCUCCCUUGACACCGUGCGCCUCCUGUGCUGCUGCCACCGUUGGCUGGCCGAAAGGUGUCAACGGCACCGGCGAGCCUCCCCGGCCGGCCCCCUCCCCCUCCCUCUCCUCUCCUUUGCCUCAAGCUAGCGGCGGCGAGCUGUCCCGUGUCGUCGUCUUCCCCGUCGCCGGCGGUGAGCACCACCACCGGCCGCCUCCUCCUACCACUCUUUCCGCUUUGCCCCCGUCACCCGCUCCCGAUCCCGCGGCUUCGGCUGCGCCACCGCCGCCUCACCGCCCGCCCGAUUCGCCGCCCACCGCUGGGUUGCUGCCUCCCACGGUUGUCAGGGUUAUGGAUACCACAUAUCUAAUAGUAGUUGACUAAAUCUCGGAAGGAUCCACCACAUACCAUGUCUUAUACGGAAACUGACCUCGAGGGAGUUCCAGAUAAGGAAAGACAACCAGAGUUCUACAUGGAAACGACAAGGACUACUCGGAUUGUAUCCAUAUUGGUUUCCCUAGUUCUACUUGGACAAGGGGACACCUAUGGGUAUAAAUACAAGGCCCCCUAGGAGGAGACGGGACACGAGACGAACAACACACACACCCACCAUGAGAGGAUCAACAACCACCACAAUCUACGCGACAACAUACAAGCCUACAUACGCCAAGACACGCCGCCGGAUAUCGACUUCAGUGAUAGGCAUGGCUAUUCCCCUACGGUGUCUCCGGAUACUGUCAGGAGAUACAAAAGCGCUAUCUCUGAUCUCGCCGGACACGGAUUCAAGGAGCAAGGCUACCCUGUUGUCGACUACGAGUCAGACCUUCAGACCGCCAUGUCGACAACAGUUUGAUAAGCUACCCACAUAUUGUACUGGUGUUAUUAUGGUGAAUAAAAGCAACUCCGGCUCCGGCCAACAGGAUGUAGGGUUAUUACCUGACAAUUUAGGGGCCCGAACCUGUAUAAAAAUCCUCGUCUCCAUCUCUUUUACCUCAGUCUCGCGUAUACCCUAGCACCGACGAUCCCCAUACUGUCCAAAUACCGUAGUCGAGACAUCAAACGUCGACAACGGCCAUCCCUCUAAAGCCGGCGAACUCCCUCCUCUUCCCAUUCCCCUCCCCCCUCCCAACCCCACCCUACCCUGGGGCCCUAAUUCAUCGGCCCUCUGUCGGAGUUUGGGUUCGCCGGCACCAGAGAAGAAGAGGUGGUCGCCGGAGUUAGAGAAGAAGAGCACGAAUCGUGAAGCACAUCCAGUGAUCCAAAAUUUACAAGAUUUAAGAUUGUAUUUUCUGUCGACAGAAGUUUAGCAAUUUCUGUUAUUUUAAUGUAGAUAAACGACUUGCCUUGUAUGCAUUGGCGGGAGGACGAGGGGAAGGAUAAAGUUACUGUGUUUGUAAGAAUCGGCGAAUGAUCUGAGCCAUUCAAAAGUGACUGAAAUUCGUUGAUAUUUUUUUUUACUGAGAACCAGACUCCUCUAAUAUUUAUACGUUAUCUUUUGAUCGUAUAUUAUUAUAUCAGCCAAUUUUGAGUUUAGCUUAAAAUUUUUGGGCAUGCAUGUGCUCAAUUGAUUGGGUAGAUUGUAUAUUACCGUUAAAUUUAUUAAUUAGCUAGCCUAGUGGAUCAUCAUAAGGAGGACGCAAAAGAAACUCUCCUCUUUUUCCACUUCCCGGCCGGUUAAGUACGUACGUACCAAUGACAGGAAUGAGAUAAUAAUAAUAUGCAUUUCGCCAUCGAUCGUCAUCCAAAAACUGGGAUCAAGUUCAGAUACAAUGUUUUCGACCUGUGCUCUUGGCCAACUAGUCAUAUAUUAAAUGUUGGAGAAGCCAGUGCCGUAGCCACCUUUACAUGCGUGCACUUGUAAGCCGUCUUCCAUCAAGAAAACGUGCAUUUUGUUUGCUUGAGAAUGAUGGACUAAUUUUUAAGUACACAUCGGUCUACAGUACUAUACAUCGUUAGGCACCGAUCUCUUUGCUGCUGGCGGAUUCCGGAUGAUCCAGCGAGUGUAUUGAACGAUCGAUAACUCUUACCAAGUACUCCCUCUGUUUUGACUUUUAUCAAAAUUAAACUGUUUUAAGUUUAACUAAAUUUAUAGAUAAAUAUAGCAAUAUUUAUAAUACUAAAUUAGUUUCAUCAAAUCAAUAAUUGAAUAUAUUUUCAUAAUAAAUUUGUCUUGGGUUGAAAAUGUUACUACUUUUUUCUAUAAACUUGCUCAAAAUUAAAACAGUUUAACUUUGACUAAAAUCAAAACAUCUUACAACCUGCAACGGAGGUAAUAAGCACGUCAAUGAUUCAUAAUGCACGCUAGUACAUAUACAAACAGUGGCCGGAACUCAAAAUAAAAAUGAAGAAAAUAUUUGCAAUUAAGCAUGUUUCAUACACAAACCAUGCAUCGUAAUGACUAAUGAGCAAAAUUACACCCGGUUCACGACUCGUGCAAGAACAUUAAUUAGUAACUAGACGACUGAUAUAUAGAAUUAGUAUCAACGUUGUAGAGUAGAGUGGUAUGUAUCAUUAGUUUCGCUAGAAAGUCAAGCUCAAAUUUAAUCUACAUAUUGAAAAAAAGGAGUUCGUGUCAAGUUUAUUUGUUUUUUUAAUAAUAUAUCUCUUGAUGUGUUAGUUGGAUUUGGAGUUAGUGUGAUUUUAUGAAGUGGUAUAUAUGUAUGUAGUAUAAAAAUUAUCUAAUUUUUAGAUCAUUUUAUUAUCAUUUGAAUAGUGUUUGAACAAACGGAAGUAUAGUCUCAAGUAUGUCCUCGAGAGAUCAGUAGGGUCUUCCAACGUAAUGUGAAUGGGUUUAAUUCAUUCAAUAGAAAGAUAUUUCCAGUUUAUACAGGAGCUCCUCCCUUAAGUCCAACUACGUACCGUAAAUAUAUGCUCGCUCUGUAUAAUAGAUGAAACCAUUAACUUUUAAACACAUGUUUGACCAUUCGCCCUAUUCAAAAGUUUUAUAUAAAUGUGUAAGAUAUAAAUCAUGCUUAAAGUAUUUUGAGUGAUAAAACAACCCACAACAAAAUAAAUUAUAAUUAUGUAUUUUUUUUUAACAAGACGAAUGAUCAAAUGUGUGACAAAAAUCAAUGACGUUAUCUAUUAAGAAAACGGAGGUAGUAGUAGACAAUAUCAACAUAGAAAGUACCGAACCUACUCGAAUUCGAUCGAAUGUGUACGGGGAAUCAAGCAUGGAUCUCUCGGCACGCAACAUGGAUACUACCUCCGUCUCAUUUUAAGUGCAGUUAUGAUUUUCCGUGUCCAACGUUUGACUGUACGUCUUAUUUAAAAAUUAUAUGAAAAAAUAAUAAAAAAAAGAUAGUCUCACCAUAAAGUAUUAUUAAUGUUUUAUCAUCUAGUAAUAAAUAAAAAUACUAAUCAUAACAAUUUUUUUAAGUUAGACAGACAGUCAAAUGUUGAAUAUAAACAACGCAAAACAAAUGUCUUUCUAGGAUGGUUCUUAGAUGGAGGUAGUACAUACUAGUUCCAACAAAACAAAGGGAAUAUUUUGAUAUUGACUUACUUCCCCAUCAUCUUCCCCUGGUAACCCGUAAGAAAAAUAGAAAAAAUACAAACUGGAGCCGCCCAGGUGGCCAGGUGUCUCCAAUCAGACCAAUCCAAUAUCAAAUCCUGAUCCAGCCAGUGCCCAGUGGCCACCACACUGCCUGCCGCAACCAACACCCAGCCACACGACACAGUCGAGCCGUGCCAAACUGCCAAAAUGCAUAUGCAGACGCCGCUAGAACCGAGCCCGCGCGCCAAACUCGAUGCCCAUCGCAUUCUGCAUCCAUCCCCCGUCCUGUACGUCCCCGGCCACCGCACCGCACGCGCGCAUGCGCGCACAGGCGCCGACGUACGAGCCGCCCGCCCACCGGAACGACGUGUCAACCAACCCGGUGGAGGAUCAAAAAAUAAAUUCGUUAGGGUCAUAACGUGUGUAUAUCGGUAUCAUAGCAUACUAAUUAUACUUAGGGCCUGUUUGGUACAGCUCCAACUCCUAAAUUUAGCUCCAGGAGUUGGGUCUGGAGUGGAGUUGUGGAGCUGUCUAAACCCAGCUUCACAACUCUAGUUCAUUUUGUGAGAGAGCUCCACCCAGCUCCACUCCCAGUUUUGGUGGAGCUGAAACUGUUUAACUGAGCUCCAGCUCCAGGAGGGGUGGAGCUGGAGCUGGAGCUGUGCCAAACAGGCCCUUAGAUCAUGGUGUUAUAAUAUAUGAAUAAAUAAUUUUUUAUAGGUUUGCUUGAAAGUUGUUGGUGUCGCCUGAUACCGGCCCUUCAACCGUAGAUCCGCCCUUACCAACCUGAACUAGAUCGAUCGAUCGACCGACCUGGCGGCGGGCGGCGCGCCGCGCGCGUGGUACGUGGGUGAGCGUACGCGCACGUCGCCGUCUGCUGCCGUGGCCUACCCGGCAGUCGAUCGAUCGAUCGAUCGAUCGCGCUGGGCGCAGCCGCAGCAGCUGGCGGGGACGCAGGACAACGGCGCGACUGUUACCUCCCUCGGCGUCAGGGGUGGCGCGACGACGACGUGAACGUGAGUUGAGGGGAGGUUCGCUCGCCUCGGCAGCUUUUGCUCAUCCGUCAUAUCUGUUCUCUGCUCUCCCAACGGCGCAAUCGAUAUGUUGAUUGAUCUGAAAAGGGAAAAGAAAACGAGAAGAAAAGAGGGAUGAAUUUAUCGUUUCCUUCCAAGAACUGCGGCAUCUUAGCAGCACGUUCAUUCAAAGCAAAAAGAUAUUUGGAGAGGAUGUUCCUCCAAACAUUUUUUUUAAAAAAUAUGAGCGCGUUGGAAAUUAAAUAUGAGAUUUCGGGGUUAAAACCAUACCCCCACGGUUAGCAGCAUGUAAAGCAUCUGAAAUUGUGAAAGACCGAAGACAAAAUGUAUAGCCAGACAUAUCGCUUACAGAUGUAUCACAAGAAAGAAAGACAUUAGGAUUUGAGCGAGUCUGAUUAACAAACGACGCAUAGCUGAACCCUGAUUAACACCUGUGGCCGUAUGAUCUCUUGCCCCGUGCACUGUCGGUAACAAUCGACAAGAUCAUCUCCCUGUCCGUGCAGUGCACGCAGAACGCUCACAUCAGGAUACUAACGUUAGGUGGGAACGUAGUUGAAGCUAGAGCACAACAAACAACGAGUGAGAGUAGCAAUCGGCAGUAUGAGCUGCCAGAUCGAUUCGACGCUAGCUCGAUCGGUUGGUUUGUGGUGCAUACCGCCGCGUCGUGUGUCCGUCUUGACAAGACAUUCUUGACGCCACCGUUCGCCUGACCUGUCAUCAAAUUUAGAUAAGAAGAUAUCGUCCAAAAUAGAAGUAGGCCGGCUGGUAUGGUUCUGUACUAAGGUCUUCGCCUAUCCACUCCCACCAGACCGUCUAUUGGCUAAAGCUAAAUAUCCAUAUCCAUCGCUGUCAAACCGCCUCCAGAUUUCAUAUUCAGGUUUUCUUUCGAAUUCAUAGUCCAAUUUGUCAAGUAGAGUACUCCAGUACAUUCAUGAUGCAGCACAUUGUGGCUAAGGCUAUGUUUAGUUCAGCAUAAAGUUUAGAUUUUGAUUAAAAUUGAAGAUGAUGUGACUGAAAAGAAAAGUUGUGUGUGUAUGACAGGUUGAUGUGAUGGAAAAUGACUGAAGUUUGGAUCCAAACUUUGGAUCUAAACACAGCCUAAGGAGUAGAACUUGGAUUAAAUAAUACAAAAGGACCACUUUAUUAUAUUGAACUUUGGCCUUGUUCGAUCUUUGGCCUGAACUCGAGUACUCCAAAAUUACUGAUUCGAGAUCGUACUAACAAAGUUUGUUUUACCUCACACAACGUCGUCUUCAGGGUGACCACCCACGCCCCUAGGGUGUACGGAGUAAUUUCAAAGAAAAACAGAAUUCUCA
RNAcentral lists this long non-coding RNA (17020 nucleotides) under Oryza sativa (Asian cultivated rice). RNAcentral describes it as "long non-coding RNA (OSAT_LNC001820)". The stretch from base 14391 to 14587 matches the Rfam family "MIR812 microRNA precursor family". The record is from RNAcentral. Lineage: Eukaryota; Viridiplantae; Streptophyta; Magnoliopsida; Poales; Poaceae.